Molecule: unclassified non-coding RNA, 203 nt
Filed under: soil metagenome
Description: partial contains 5.8S ribosomal RNA, internal transcribed spacer 2, and large subunit ribosomal RNA
Source: RNAcentral
AACCUAGCACACCUGCGGUGUGUACCUGCGGAAGGAUCAUUACCUAGAGUUGUAGGCUUUGCCUGCUAUCUCUUACCCAUGUCUUUUGAGUACCUUACGUUUCCUCGGUGGGUUCGCCCGCCGGUUGGACAAAACUUAAACCCUUUGUAGUUGCAAUCAGCGUCUGAAAAAACUUAAUAGUUACAACUUUCAACAAUGGAUCU